UUCCGUAGGUGAACCUGCGGAGGGAUCAUUACACAACAAAAAUAUGAGGGUGUGGUUUGCUGGCAACAGCGUCCGCCCCAAGUAUUUUUCACCCAUGUCUUUUGCGCACUUUUUGUUUCCUGGGCGAGUUCGCUCGCCACCAGGACCCAACCAUAAACCUUUUUUUAUGCAGUUGCAAUCAGCGUCAGUAUAAUAAUUCAAUUUAUUAAAACUUUCAACAACGGAUCUCUUGGUUCUGGCAUCGAUGAAGAACGCAGCGAAAUGCGAUACGUAGUGUGAAUUGCAGAAUUCAGUGAAUCAUCGAAUCUUUGAACGCACAUUGCGCCCUUUGGUAUUCCAAAGGGCAUGCCUGUUCGAGCGUCAUUUGUACCCUCAAGCUUUGCUUGGUGUUGGGCGUCUUUUUGUCUCUCCCCUUGUUGGGGGAGACUCGCCUUAAAACGAUUGGCAGCCGACCUACUGGUUUUCGGAGCGCAGCACAAAUUUGCGCCUUCCAAUCCACGGGGCGGCAUCCAGCAAGCCUUUGUUUUCUAUAACAAAUCCACAUUUUGACCUCGGAUCAGGUAGGGAUACCCGCUGAACUUAAGCAUAUCAAAAC
Molecule: ribosomal RNA, 595 nt
Filed under: Exserohilum rostratum
Lineage: Eukaryota; Fungi; Ascomycota; Dothideomycetes; Pleosporales; Pleosporaceae
Description: eukaryotic LSU rRNA
Rfam family: 5.8S ribosomal RNA (bases 210-363)
Source: RNAcentral